GCGGACGUGGCGGAAUUGGUAUACGCGCUAGAUUUAGGUUCUAGUGUCUUUACGGCGUGAGAGUUCGAGUCUCUCCGUCCGCA
RNAcentral lists this transfer RNA (83 nucleotides) under Limnothrix sp. RL_2_0. RNAcentral describes it as "tRNA-Leu". It matches the Rfam family "tRNA". From Rfam's summary of the family: Transfer RNA (tRNA) molecules are approximately 80 nucleotides in length. RNAcentral also lists the same sequence under 1 other name. Lineage: Bacteria; Bacillati; Cyanobacteriota; Cyanophyceae; Pseudanabaenales; Pseudanabaenaceae. The record is from RNAcentral.